GGGGGCGAAUUUCCUAGGAAUUCCCCCCCCCCCGGGGAGGGGCGAUAUUCCUAGGAAUUUCGCCCCCCGGGGGGCAAAAUUGGGGGGGGGGCGAAAUUCCUGGGACACCGGCAUCGACAAGAUUCCGGAUUGGAGCAGCUUGACAAAAUUCAGAUCAGAACAGAUCAACAAAUCUUGUCAAUCAAAUGUUGUCAAUCUGUUCCAGUCUGGGUAUUUCUUGAUGUUUUUUUGAUGCUUGUAUUCCCUGUGAUCUUGUCGACACUAGAAACCAAAAUGGCGGGAGAAACAAAUUCAUCUUCAGCGGAGAGAAAUUCUUUUACUUUACCGUGGAAUGAUAGCGACGUUAUUCUAGUUGUCCAAGGCUGGGAACUCCAUGUACAUAAAACUAUACUGGCUCUUCAAUCACCAGUUUUCAUAGCGACGUUUAAUGGCCAGUUUCGGGAUACCCUGCGAAUAUUUAUUCGGAUGAAGCAGUCAAUCAAAUCUUUGCUGAGAUUGAGCAUGUUCAAUUAAGAGAGAUGCGUAUGAAAUCAUUUGGAGAUUCUAUAACCCAAGUGCUAGAUAUGAAGGCUAAUGCAAAAUCAGGAAAUGGAAUUUAAACUUUCCUGCCCAAUAAACUUUGAUAUUGUUUAUGCAAACUGGAACAUAUGAUGCAAAUUGAAUGUAUUUGAGCAUAUGAACAAAGUCAUACAAUUAUGUUAGAGAAUGGUUGUUGUUUUAAAAGUUGAUAGCACAUUAACAUUACAUUGACCAUCUCGUUCAAAAUAUAGACAGAUUUGUGGCAAGGGAACCAGAAUUAUACAAAUCUUGCCCUAGUGCCUCACUGGUUUUUAAUUGGAUAAUUAGUAUGUUUUUAAGUCUGUAGAGAAGUUGUGAUGUCCGGGGUGAUGUAAAUCUGUGGGCCGUUUAAGACUUACUUAAAUUAAGUAAGUUACUUAGGUGUGCACUUGGUGUAUGUUUGUCAGAAGGUA
Paramuricea clavata is the source of this 971-nucleotide non-coding RNA. NCBI's taxonomy places the organism in Eukaryota, Metazoa, Cnidaria, Anthozoa, Malacalcyonacea, Plexauridae. The record is from the annotation of a GenBank genome assembly.